CGCCCUUGAGUUUGAUCAUGGCUCAGAUUGAACGCUGGCGGCAUGCCUUACACAUGCAAGUCGAACGGCAGCAUAGGAGCUUGCUCCUGAUGGCGAGUGGCGAACGGGUGAGUAAUAUAUCGGAACGUACCCUAGAGUGGGGGAUAACUAGUCGAAAGAUUAGCUAAUACCGCAUACGAUCUACGGAUGAAAGUGGGGGAUCGCAAGACCUCAUGCUCAUGGAGCGGCCGAUAUCUGAUUAGCUAGUUGGUGGGGUAAAAGCUCACCAAGGCGACGAUCAGUAGCUGGUCUGAGAGGACGACCAGCCACACUGGAACUGAUACACGGUCCAGACUCCUACGGGAGGCAGCAGUGGGGAAUUUUGGACAAUGGGGGCAACCCUGAUCCAGCAAUGCUUUUUUUUGUGAAGAAGGCCUUCGGGUUGUAAAGCUCUUUUGUCAGGGAAGAAACGGUGAGGGCUAAUAUCCCUUGCUAAUGAC
This 479-nucleotide ribosomal RNA is filed under the name uncultured Herbaspirillum sp. Its description in RNAcentral is "bacterial SSU rRNA". It matches the Rfam family "Bacterial small subunit ribosomal RNA", at positions 1 to 473 of the family's 1533-position model. Lineage: Bacteria; Pseudomonadati; Pseudomonadota; Betaproteobacteria; Burkholderiales; Oxalobacteraceae. The record is from RNAcentral.